GAUGAACGCUGGCGGCGUGCCUAAUACAUGCGAGUCGAGCGAACAGACGAGGAGCUUGCUCCUCUGACGUUAGCGGCGGACGGGUGAGUAACACGUGGAUAACCUACCUAUAAGACUGGGAUAACUUCGGGAAACCGGAGCUAAUACCGGAUAAUAUAUUGAACCGCAUGGUUCAAUAGUGAAAGACGGUUUUGCUGUCACUUAUAGGUGGAUCCGCGCCGCAUUAGCUAGUUGGUAAGGUAACGGCUUACCAAGGCAACGAUGCGUAGCCGACCUGAGAGGGUGAUCGGCCACACUGGAACUGAGACACGGUCCAGACUCCUACGGGAGGCAGCAGUAGGGAAUCUUCCGCAAUGGGCGAAAGCCUGACGGAGCAACGCCGCGUGAGUGAUGAAGGUCUUCGGAUCGUAAAACUCUGUUAUUAGGGAAGAACAAAUGCGUAAGUAACUAUGCACGUCUUGACGGUACCUAAUCAGAAAGCCACGGCUAACUACGUG
Molecule: ribosomal RNA, 497 nt
Filed under: uncultured bacterium
Lineage: Bacteria
Description: partial 16S ribosomal RNA
Rfam family: Bacterial small subunit ribosomal RNA
Source: RNAcentral